RNAcentral lists this ribosomal RNA (605 nucleotides) under uncultured bacterium. RNAcentral's name for it is "bacterial SSU rRNA". It matches the Rfam family "Bacterial small subunit ribosomal RNA", at positions 338 to 1433 of the family's 1533-position model. The record is from RNAcentral.
CCUACGGGAGGCAGCAGUGGGGAAUCUUGCGCAAUGGGCGAAAGCCUGACGCAGCCAUGCCGCGUGAAUGAUGAAGGUCUUAGGAUUGUAAAAUUCUUUCACCGGGGACGAUAAUGACGGUACCCGGAGAAGAAGCCCCGGCUAACUUCGUGCCAGCAGCCGCGGUAAUACGAAGGGGGCUAGCGUUGCUCGGAAUUACUGGGCGUAAAGGGAGCGUAGGCGGAUAGUUUAGUCAGAGGUGAAAGCCCAGGGCUCAACCUUGGAAUUGCCUUUGAUACUGGCUAUCUUGAGUAUGGGAGAGGUAUGCGGAACUCCGAGUGUAGAGGUGAAAUUCGUAGAUAUUCGGAAGAACACCAGUGGCGAAGGCGGCAUACUGGCCCAUUACUGACGCUGAGGCUCGAAAGCGUGGGGAGCAAACAGGAUUAGAUACCCUGGUAGUCCACGCUGUAAACGAUGAGUGCUAGUUGUCGGCAUGCAUGCAUGUCGGUGACGCAGCUAACGCAUUAAGCACUCCGCCUGGGGAGUACGGUCGCAAGAUUAAAACUCAAAAGUAGUAAGUUAGACCGGUCGUAGAGACGCGACGACGACGACGACGAGGGAGGAGG